AACGAACGCUGGCGGCAUGCCUAACACAUGCAAGUCGAACGAGACCUUCGGGUCUAGUGGCGCACGGGUGCGUAACGCGUGGGAACCUGCCCUUAGGUUCGGAAUAACUCCCCGAAAGGGGUGCUAAUACCGGAUAAUGUCUUCGGACCAAAGAUUUAUCGCCUUUGGAUGGGCCCGCGUUGGCUUAGCUGGUUGGUAGGGUAAAAGCCUACCAAGGCGACGAUCCAUAGCUGGUCUGAGAGGAUGAUCAGCCACACUGGGGCUGAGACACGGCCCAGACUCCUACGGGAGGCAGCAGUGGGGAAUAUUGGACAAUGGGCGAAAGCCUGAUCCAGCACUGCCGCGUGAGUGAUGAAGGCCUUAGGGUUGUAAAGCUCUUUUACCCGGGAUGAUAAUGACAGUACCGGGAGAAUAAGCUCCGGCUAACUCCGUG
Molecule: ribosomal RNA, 433 nt
Filed under: uncultured bacterium
Lineage: Bacteria
Description: partial 16S ribosomal RNA
Rfam family: Bacterial small subunit ribosomal RNA
Source: RNAcentral